GGACCCGCACAAGCAGCGGAGCAUGUGGUUUAAUUCGAAGCAACGCGAAGAACCUUACCAAGGUUUGACAACCCCUUGACAGAUGCAGAGAUGUGUCCUCCCCUUCGGGGGCAAGGGAGACGGGUGGUGCAUGGUUGUCGUCAGCUCGUGUCGUGAGAUGUUGGGUUAAGUCCCGCAACGAGCGCAACCCUUAUCCUUAGUUGCCAGCAAGUAAAGUUGNGCACUCUAAGGAGACUGCCGGUGAUAAACCGGAGGAAGGUGGGGAUGACGUCAAAUCAUCAUGCCCCUUAUAUCUUGGGCUACACACGUGCUACAAUGGUCGGUACAAAGGGAAGCGAAAGAGUGAUCUGGAGCAAAUCUCAAUAAACCGAUCCCAGUUCGGAUUGUAGGCCGCAACUCGCCUACAUGAAGUUGGAGUUGCUAGUAAUCGCGAAUCAGAACGUCGCGGUGAAUGCGUUCCCGGGUCUUGUACACACCGCCCGUCACACCAUGGAAGUUGGUAAUACCCGAAGUCGCUGAGCUAACCGUAAGGGGGCAGGCGCCGAAGGUAGGAUCAAUGACUGGGGUG
This 568-nucleotide ribosomal RNA is filed under the name uncultured bacterium. RNAcentral's name for it is "bacterial SSU rRNA". It matches the Rfam family "Bacterial small subunit ribosomal RNA", at positions 917 to 1482 of the family's 1533-position model. The record is from RNAcentral.